RNAcentral lists this non-coding RNA (165 nucleotides) under Pseudomonas citronellolis. Lineage: Bacteria; Pseudomonadati; Pseudomonadota; Gammaproteobacteria; Pseudomonadales; Pseudomonadaceae. The record is from RNAcentral.
ACCUUCGUCGGUGCCCAUCAGGGCCGAAGAGGGAACGCGCAGGAGCCAUCCAAGCGCGGCUGCCCCCGCAACUGUAAGCAGCGAGUCCACGCGUCAUUGGCCACUGGGAAACCGGGAAGGCCGCGUCGGGCAAAGACCUGCCAGCCAGGAGACCUGCCGACGGGA